RNAcentral lists this ribosomal RNA (301 nucleotides) under uncultured bacterium. Its description in RNAcentral is "partial 16S ribosomal RNA". It matches the Rfam family "Bacterial small subunit ribosomal RNA", at positions 509 to 809 of the family's 1533-position model. The record is from RNAcentral.
CAGCAGCCACGGGAAAACGGAGGGGGCUAGCGUUGUUCGGAAUUACUGGGCGUAAAGCGCACGUAGGCGGCUUGGUAAGUUAGAGGUGAAAGCCUGGAGCUCAACUCCAGAAUUGCCUUUAAGACUGCCGAGCUAGCAGGUGAGAGAGGUAAGUGGAAUUCCGAGUGUAGAGGUGAAGUUCGUAGAUAUUCGGAAGAACACCAGUGGCGAAGGCGGCUUACUGGCUCAUACUGGACGCUGAGGUGCGAAAGCGUGGGGAGCAAACAGGAUUAGAUACCCCGGUAGUCCCUGUCUCUUAUAA